CAGCCGCCGCGGUAACACGGAGGGUGCAAGCGUUAAUCGGAAUUACUGGGCGUAAAGCGUGCGUAGGCGGUUCGUUAAGUCUGUUGUAAAAGCCCCGGGCUCAACCUGGGAAUGGCAGUGGAUACUGGCAAGCUAGAGUGUGUCAGAGGAUGGUGGAAUUCCCGGUGUAGCGGUGAAAUGCGUAGAGAUCGGGAGGAACAUCAGUGGCGAAGGCGGCCAUCUGGGACAACACUGACGCUGAGGCACGAAAGCGUGGGGAGCAAACAGGAUUAGAUACCCGGGUAGUCCCUGUCUCUUAUAC
Molecule: ribosomal RNA, 301 nt
Filed under: uncultured bacterium
Lineage: Bacteria
Description: partial 16S ribosomal RNA
Rfam family: Bacterial small subunit ribosomal RNA
Source: RNAcentral